GGGUGGUCAGUUGUCAUAGUGUCUGGUAGUGUAGGGUUGUCAUAGUGUCUGGUAGUGUAGGGUGGUCAUAGUGUAGGGUGGUCAGUUGUCAUAGUGUCUGGUAGUGUAGGGUUGUCAUAGUGUCUGGUAGUGUAGGGUGGUCAGUUGUCAUAGUGUCUGGUAGUGUAGGGUUGUCAUAGUGUCUGGUAGUGUAGGGUGGUCAUAGUGUAGGGUGGUCAGUUGUCAUAGUGUCUGGUAGUGUAGGGUUGUCAUAGUGUCUGGUAGUGUAGGGUGGUCAGUUGUCAUAGUGUCUGGUAGUGUAGGGUGGACAGUUG
Long non-coding RNA from Oncorhynchus tshawytscha (Chinook salmon), 314 nucleotides. The record is from Ensembl. NCBI's taxonomy places the organism in Eukaryota, Metazoa, Chordata, Actinopteri, Salmoniformes, Salmonidae.